UACAGAUGGUGCAAGCGUUAAUCGGAAUUACUGGGCGUAAAGCGAGCGUAGGUGGCUUGAUAAGUCAGAUGUGAAAUCCCCGGGCUUAACCUGGGAACUGCAUCUGAUACUGUUAGGCUAGAAUAGGUGAGAGGAAGGUAGAAUUCCAGGUGUAGCGGUGAAAUGCGUAGAGAUCUGGAGGAAUACCGAUGGCGAAGGCAGCCUUCUGGCAUCAUAUUGACACUGAGGUUCGAAAGCGUGGGUAGCAAACA
This 251-nucleotide ribosomal RNA is filed under the name uncultured prokaryote. Its description in RNAcentral is "partial 16S ribosomal RNA". It matches the Rfam family "Bacterial small subunit ribosomal RNA", at positions 524 to 774 of the family's 1533-position model. The record is from RNAcentral.